CAGCCGCCGCGGUAAAACGAGGGGGGCAAGCGUUGUUCGGAAUUAUUGGGCGUAAAGGGCGCGUAGGCGGUUUGGCAAGUUUGGUGUGAAAUCUUCGGGCUCAACUCGAAGUCUGCAUCGAAAACUGCCGGGCUUGAGUAUGGGAGAGGUGAGUGGAAUUUCCGGUGUAGCGGUGAAAUGCGUAGAUAUCGGAAGGAACACCUGUGGCGAAAGCGGCUUACUGGACCAUUACUGACGCUGAGGCGCGAAAGCUAGGGGAGCAAACAGGAUUAGAUACCCCCGUAGUCCCUGUCUCUUAUAC
Molecule: ribosomal RNA, 301 nt
Filed under: uncultured bacterium
Lineage: Bacteria
Description: partial 16S ribosomal RNA
Rfam family: Bacterial small subunit ribosomal RNA
Source: RNAcentral